Molecule: ribosomal RNA, 254 nt
Filed under: uncultured bacterium
Lineage: Bacteria
Description: partial 16S ribosomal RNA
Rfam family: Bacterial small subunit ribosomal RNA
Source: RNAcentral
GACGUAGGGCGCAAGCGUUGUCCGGAAUUAUUGGGCGUAAAGAGCUCGUAGGCGGCUUGUCGCGUCGACUGUGAAAACCCGUGGCUCAACCAUGCGGUCUGCAGUCGAUACGGGCAGGCUAGAAUUCGGUAGGGGAGACUGGAAUUCCUGGUGUAGCGGUGAAAUUCGUAGAUAUUGGGAAGAACACCAGUGGCGAAGGCGGCUAACUGGUCCAGUACUGACGCUGAGGUGCGAAAGCGUGGGGAGCAAACAGG